UUAAGUGACUAAGCGUACACGGUGGAUGCCUAGGCAGUCAGAGGCGAUGAAGGGCGUGCUAAUCUGCGAUAAGUGUCGGUAAGGUGAUAUGAACCGUUAUAACCGGCAAUACCCGAAUGGGGAAACCCAGUGCAAUCCGUUGCACUAUCCUGUCAUGAAUACAUAGUGGCAGGAGGCGAACCGGGGAACUGAAACAUCUAAGUACCCGAGGAAAAGAAAUCAACCGAGAUUCCCCUAGUAGCGGCGAGCGAACGGGAGGAGCCCAGAACCUGAAUCAGGUUAUGUGUUAGUGGAAGCGUCUGGAAAGUCGCAGGGUACAGGGUGAUACUCCCGUACACUAAAAUGCAUAAUGUGUGAGUUCGAUGAGUAGGGCGGGACACGUGACAUCCUGUCUGAAUAUGGGGGGGACCAUCCUCCAAGGCUAAAUACUCCUGACUGACCGAUAGUGAACCAGUACCGUGAGGGAAAGGCGAAAAGAACCCCGGCGAGGGGAGUGAAAUAGAACCUGAAACCGUGUACGUACAAGCAGUGGGAGCACCUUCGUGGUGUGACUGCGUACCUUUUGUAUAAUGGGUCAGCGACUUAUAUUUUGUAGCAAGGUUAACCGAAUAGGGGAGCCGUAGGGAAACCGAGUCUUAACUGGGCGUCAAGUUGCAAGGUAUAGACCCGAAACCCGGUGAUCUAGCCAUGGGCAGGUUGAAGGUUGGGUAACACUAACUGGAGGACCGAACCGACUAAUUGUUGAAAAAUUAGCGGAUGACUUGUGGCUGGGGGUGAAAGGCCAAUCAAACCGGGAGAUAGCUGGUUCUCCCCGAAAGCUAUUUAGGUAGCGCCUCGUGAACUCAUCUUCGGGGGUAGAGCACUGUUUCGACUAGGGGGUCAUCCCGACUUACCAACUCGAUGCAAACUCCGAAUACCGAAGAAUGUUAUCACGGGAGACACACGGCGGGUGCUAACGUCCGUCGUGAAGAGGGAAACAACCCAGACCGCCAGCUAAGGUCCCAAAGUCAUGGUUAAGUGGAAACGAUGUGGGAAGGCAUAGACAGCCAGGAUGUUGGCUUAGAAGCAGCAUCAUUUAAAGAAGCGUAAUAGCUCACUGGUCGAGUCGGCCUGCGCGGAAAUGUAACGGGCUAAACCAUGCACCGAAGCUGCGGCAGCGAUACGAAAUAUUGUUGGGUAGGGGAGCGUUGUAAGCGAAGGUGAACUGUGAGGUUUGCUGGAGGUAUCAGAAGUGCGAAUGCUGACAUAAGUAACGAUAAUGCGGGUGAAAAACCCGCACGCCGGAAGACCAAGGGUUCCUGUCCAACGUUAAUCGGCAAGUCGACCCUAAGGCGAGGCCGAAAGGCGUAGUCGAUGGAAACAGGUUAUAUCCUGUACUUGGUGUUACUGCGAAGGGGGACGAAGAAGGCUAGGCUAUCCGGGCGACGGUUGUCCCGUUUAAGCGUGUAGGUGGAGUGAUUAGGUAAAUCCGGUCGCUUAUUAACACUGAGGCGUGAUGACGAGUCUCUACGGAGAUGAAGUAGUUGAUGCCACACUUCCAGGAAAAGCCUCUAAGCAUCAGGUAACAUUAAAUCGUACCCCAAACCGACACAGGUGGUCAGGUAGAGAAUACUCAGGCGCUUGAGAGAACUCGGGUGAAGGAACUAGGCAAAAUGGUGCCGUAACUUCGGAGAAAGGCACGCUGACGCUAGGUGAAGAGACUUGCUCUCGGAGCUGAAGUCAGUCGAAGAUACCAGCUGGCUGCAACUGUUUAUUAAAAACACAGCACUGUGCAAACACGAAAGUGGACGUAUACGGUGUGACGCCUGCCCGGUGCUGGAAGGUUAAUUGAUGGGGUUAGCCGCAAGGCGAAGCUCUUGAUCGAAGCCCCAGUAAACGGCGGCCGUAACUAUAACGGUCCUAAGGUAGCGAAAUUCCUUGUCGGGUAAGUUCCGACCUGCACGAAUGGCGUAAUGAUGGCCAGGCUGUCUCCACCCGAGACUCAGUGAAAUUGAACUCGCAGUGAAGAUGCUGUGUACCCGCGGCAAGACGGAAAGACCCGUGAACCUUUACUAUAGCUUGACACUGAACAUUGAGCCUUGAUGUGUAGGAUAGGUGGGAGGCUUUGAAGCGUGGACGCCAGUCUGCGUGGAGCCAACCUUGAAAUACCACCCUUUAAUGUUUGAUGUUCUAACUUUGGCCCCUAAUCGGGGUUGAGGACAGUGUCUGGUGGGUAGUUUGACUGGGGCGGUCUCCUCCUAAAGAGUAACGGAGGAGCACGAAGGUUAGCUAAUCACGGUCGGACAUCGUGAGGUUAGUGCAAUGGCAUAAGCUAGCUUGACUGCGAGAGUGACGGCUCGAGCAGGUACGAAAGUAGGUCAUAGUGAUCCGGUGGUUCUGAAUGGAAGGGCCAUCGCUCAACGGAUAAAAGGUACUCCGGGGAUAACAGGCUGAUACCGCCCAAGAGUUCAUAUCGACGGCGGUGUUUGGCACCUCGAUGUCGGCUCAUCACAUCCUGGGGCUGAAGUAGGUCCCAAGGGUACGGCUGUUCGCCGUUUAAAGUGGUACGCGAGCUGGGUUUAGAACGUCGUGAGACAGUUCGUCCCUAUCUGCCGUGGGCGUUGGAAGAUUGAGAGGGGUUGCUCCUAGUACGAGAGGACCGGAGUGAACGCACCACUGGUGUUCGGGUUGUCAUGCCAAUGGCAUUGCCCGGUAGCUACGUGCGGAAAAGAUAACCGCUGAAAGCAUCUAAGCGGGAAACUUGCCUCAAGAUGAGUCUUCCCUGGGCCUUUAAGGCCCCUGAAGGAACGUUUGAGACUAAGACGUUGAUAGGCUGGGUGUGUAAGCAUAGCGAUAUGUUGAGCUAACCAGUACUAAUGAUCCGUGAGGCUUAACCUU
This 2877-nucleotide ribosomal RNA is filed under the name Budvicia aquatica. RNAcentral describes it as "23S ribosomal RNA". It matches the Rfam family "Bacterial large subunit ribosomal RNA". Lineage: Bacteria; Pseudomonadati; Pseudomonadota; Gammaproteobacteria; Enterobacterales; Budviciaceae. The record is from RNAcentral.